RNAcentral lists this ribosomal RNA (879 nucleotides) under Syntomoza tahuata. RNAcentral's name for it is "partial small subunit ribosomal RNA". The record is from RNAcentral. Lineage: Eukaryota; Metazoa; Arthropoda; Insecta; Hemiptera; Liviidae.
UGUUAGGUCAAGGUGCAGUUUAAUAAAGAAAAAAAUGGAUUACUUUAAAAAGAAUGAAUGAUUAUUAAUAUUGGUGUAUAUUGAUUAAAAAGGAUUUAAUAGUAAAUUAGUUUAAAUAAACUUAAUGAAUUUAGUUUCUAAAAUAUGUACACAUUGCCCGUCGCUCUUGUUUAAUACAAGAUAAGUCGUAACAUAGUAAAUGUACCGGAAGGUGUAUUUGGAAAUAGAAUAAAUAGCUUAAGUUUAAAGCUUAUUAUUUACAUUAAUAUGAUAUUAUAAAAUUUUAUUUUAAUUAAAUUUUUUUUUUGUUUUGGGUUAAUUAAUUUUUUAAAAAUAAUUACUGUGAGGGGGGAGCUUAUAGUAAUUAUAAUAAAAGAUAUAUUAAUUGUACCUUUUGUAUCAGGGGUAAUUUAAAUAUUAUUAUUAUUUAAUAUUUCUCGAAAAAUAAAGAUUUAUAUAAUUAAUAAUUUUUUAUGUCAUAAAUUAACUUUAUUUUUAUAUUGUUUUGAAAUAAAAAUCGAUUUAUUAUAUCUAGUUACUUUGAAUUUAAUUUAAUUAAAUUAUAAUUUGUUUAAUAAAUAAAUAAAAUAUUUUUGGGGAUAAUCUUUAAAAUAAAUUUAUAGAUAAAAAAUAUUUUUUUGAUCAUUAAGCUUAAAACUAGCUACAGAUAAUUAUGUGUAAUAAUUAAUUAUAAAAUAAUAAAUUUUUAUAUUAUCUUUAAGGGGAGUUAAAGGUAUAUAAAAUAUUAUUUAAUUUAUAAUAAUUAUGAUUAAAUUAGUAGAACGUAAAAUAUAAAUUUAGAAUUCGGCAAUUAUUUACUUCGCCUGUUUAACAAAAACAUCUUUGUGAGAAAAAAAAUUAUGAUACUGCCUGCUCAAU